This 253-nucleotide ribosomal RNA is filed under the name uncultured bacterium. Its description in RNAcentral is "partial 16S ribosomal RNA". It matches the Rfam family "Bacterial small subunit ribosomal RNA", at positions 524 to 776 of the family's 1533-position model. The record is from RNAcentral.
UACGUAGGGGGCAAGCGUUGUCCGGAAUUAUUGGGCGUAAAGAGCGCGUAGGCGGUCCGAUAAGUCGGCUGUGAAAGUCAGGGGCUCAACCCUUGGAAGCCGGCCGAUACUGUCGGACUAGAGUCCGGAAGAGGCAAGUGGAAUUCCCGGUGUAGCGGUGAAAUGCGCAGAUAUCGGGAGGAACACCAAUGGCGAAGGCGGCUCUCUGGGACGGUACUGACGCUGAGACGCGAAAGCGUGGGGAGCGAACAGG